AACCGCCGUGUACGGAACCGUACGCACGGUGGUGUGGGAGGACGGCGGCCGUGAGGCCGCCUCCUACCCGAU
Molecule: non-coding RNA, 72 nt
Organism: Pseudomonadales bacterium
Lineage: Bacteria; Pseudomonadati; Pseudomonadota; Gammaproteobacteria; Pseudomonadales
Source: Rfam